UGACCUCAAAUCAGGUAGGACUACCCGCUGAACUUAAGCAUAUA
Molecule: ribosomal RNA, 44 nt
Filed under: uncultured Cortinarius
Lineage: Eukaryota; Fungi; Basidiomycota; Agaricomycetes; Agaricales; Cortinariaceae
Also listed under: 1 other name
Description: partial 25S ribosomal RNA
Source: RNAcentral